AGGCAGUGUAUUGUUAGUUAGCUGGCAUUCACAUACCAGCAACUAAACACACUUCCACA
Molecule: microRNA precursor, 59 nt
Filed under: Alligator mississippiensis (American alligator)
Lineage: Eukaryota; Metazoa; Chordata; Crocodylia; Alligatoridae
Description: Ami-Mir-34-P3d_pre stem-loop
Source: RNAcentral